GUUUGAUUAUAGCUCAGAUUGAACGCUGGCAGGAUGCUUUACAUGCAAGUCGAACGGCAGCACGGACUUCGGUCUGGUGGCGAGUGGCGAACAGGUACGGUAAUGUAUCGGAACGUGCCUGGCGGGGAUAAUACACGAAAAGCGUAUUAAUACCGCAUACGCCCUUCGGGGGAAAGCGGGGGACUUCGGGCCUCGCACUAUUAGAGCGGCCGAUAUCGGAUUAGCUAGUUGGUGGGGUAACGGCUCACCAAGGCGACGAUCCCGUAGCUGGUUUGAGAGGACGAAACCAGCCACACUGGGACUGAGACGGCCGGAAGACUCCUACCGGGAGGCAGCAGUGGGAAUUUUGGACAAUGAAACCCACAGUCAGCCAUCCACGUGUGCGAUGAAGGCCUUCAGGUUGUAAAGCACUUUUGGCAGGGAAGAAACGGCUGGAUAUUACCCCGAUGCAACUGACGAACACCUGCAGAAUAAGCACCGGCUAACUACGUGCACCAGCAGCCGCGGUAAUACGUAGAGUGCAAGCGUUAAUCGGAAUUACUGGGCGUAAAGCGUGCGCAGGCGGUUCGGAAAGAAGAUGCUGAAAUCCAGAACUUAACUUUGGAGCUUCAUUUUUAACUACCGAGCUAGAGAGUGUGUCAGAGGUGGGAAUUCCGCGUGUAGCAGUGAAAUGCGUAGAUAUGCGGAGGAACACCGAUGGCGAAGGCAGCCUCCUGGGAUAACACUGACGCUCGUGCACGAAAGCGUGGGGAGCAAACGGGAUUAGAUACACAGUGAUCACGCCCUAAACGAUGUCAGAAAACUAAUAUUUGGGGCCUUCAGGCCUUGGUAUUGGCGCAGCUAACGCGUGAAGUUGACCGCCUGAGUACGGUCGCAAAGAUUAAAACUCAAAGGAAUUGACGGGGACCCGCACAAGCGGUGGAUGAUGUCAGUUAAUUCGAUGCAACGCGAAAAGCCACCUACCCUUGACAUGUCUGGAAUCCCGAAGAGAUUUGAGGUGCUCGCAAGAGAACCGGAACACAGGUGCUGCAUGGCUGUCGUCAGCUCGUGUCGUGAGAUGUUGGGUUAAGUCCGCGCAACCCGACGCAGCCCUUGUCGUGGAUUGCUACGAAAGGGCACUCUAAUGGGAACUGCCGGUGACAAACCGGAGGAAGGUGGGGAUGACGUCAGGAAUCCUCAUGGCCCUUAUGGGUAAGGGCUUCACACGUCAUACAAUGGUCGGGACAGAGGGUCGCCAACCCGCGAAGAUUGUCCCAGAAACCCGAUCGUAGUCCGGAUCGCAGUCUGCAACUCGACUUCACAUUGAAGUCCGGAAUCGCUAGUAAUCGCGGAUCAGCAUGUCGCGGUGAAUACGUUCCCGGGUCUUGUACACACCGCCCGUCACACCAUGGGAGUGGGUUUACCAAGUAGUUAGCCUAACCGUAAGGAGGGCGAUUACCACGGUAGGAUUCAUGACUGAGACUGAAGUCAUCAAAGCGAGUAG
RNAcentral lists this ribosomal RNA (1483 nucleotides) under uncultured Bordetella sp. RNAcentral describes it as "partial 16S-23S ribosomal RNA intergenic spacer". It matches the Rfam family "Bacterial small subunit ribosomal RNA". Lineage: Bacteria; Pseudomonadati; Pseudomonadota; Betaproteobacteria; Burkholderiales; Alcaligenaceae. The record is from RNAcentral.